Molecule: ribosomal RNA, 433 nt
Filed under: uncultured bacterium
Lineage: Bacteria
Description: partial 16S ribosomal RNA
Rfam family: Bacterial small subunit ribosomal RNA
Source: RNAcentral
AACGAACGCUGGCGGCAUGCCUAACACAUGCAAGUCGAACGAGACCUUCGGGCCUAGUGGCGCACGGGGGCGUACCGCGUGGGAAGCUGCCCUUAGGUUCGGAAUACCUCCCUGUAAGGGGUGUUAAUACCGGAUAAUGUCUUCGGAGCAAAGAUUUAUUGCUUUGGGAUGGGGCUGGGUUGGUUUAGGUGGUUGGUAGGGGAAAAGCCUGCCAAGGGGACGAUCCAUAGCUGGUCGGGGAGGAUGAUUAACCACACUGGAACUGAGACACGGCCCAGACUCCUACGGAAGGCAGCAGUGGGUAAUAUUAGACAAGGGGCGAAAGCCUAAUCCAGCAGUGCCGCGGGAGUGAUGAAGGCCUUAGGGUUGUAAAGCUCUUUUACCCGGGAUGAUAGUGACAGUACCGGGAAAAUAAGCACCGGCUAACUCCGUG